Molecule: long non-coding RNA, 3470 nt
Filed under: Solanum tuberosum (potato)
Lineage: Eukaryota; Viridiplantae; Streptophyta; Magnoliopsida; Solanales; Solanaceae
Description: long non-coding RNA (STUB_LNC005143)
Source: RNAcentral
AGGAGUUGAACUUGGAGGGGUUCAUAACACAUGAAGUAAACUGUGAAGAUAUUAACAAAGCAUUUGACUUACUUGAAGCAGGCAAAACGCUGCGUUGUAUCAUUUGGAUGGACAAAUAAUCCUGUUAUUUUAAUAAGCUUUCUACAUGUUUGCCCUAUGACAUAUUUAAUAAAUUGAUGUCCUAUUUAUUGCUACUAUUUUUACUAAAAAUGAGCUAAAUACUUUUGUAUCAUUGUAUGCAUCUCGUUUCGUUUCACAUAUUUGAAUCUGGAAAAUGUAUCUUUAAUUAUGUUCUAGUUCUAUGAAUGAGAGUUAUGCUUGUUUGGAUGGUUGUUACCUUUUUAAAAAAAAAUAAUAGGUCUAACUUCUACCCUAACUUACUUUUCGGUUUUACUCUUUAAAUUGUUUAUGUGUAACAUUAUAUAACGACUGAAAAUGAUAUAAUCUAUUCAAAUGUUACAAUAUAAAGUAAUGCUUAAUAAUUACCCCCAAAAACAAUCUUUAAAUUAAAGAGAAUCUUGUUCUGAUUUAAAAUAAGAUCAUAAUCUACGACUAGUCAACUACGCAUAUUACUUUCAUUGACAACGAUGAGAAUUAAACAAUGUGUCACAUGGCUGAUAUUUGUAGUAUAUUUACUUGGUUCAACAACAAUGUAUACUUCUCUUUCUUAAAAAUAUAAAUAAAUAAAUUAGGGUAGAUGAAGGGGAUCAAUUAGCACUGAAUAGCUAAUUGUUAUUUUUGGUGUAGUGGUUUGUUUUUAAGUAUAUUGUAAGUAAAAUUUGAAAUUUUUAUACUAACUUACUCAUGAGGUUGAGUUUCCAUAAUAGUAAUACAAACGCAGCUCUAAGUCAUUUUCAAUUAAGUUAUUAAUUUAAUAUAAUUAACGAUCAUCACAUUGUAUAGACGAUUUCUUUUACAAAAUGAUUAAUCACGUUUUACUACUUUUGGUCCUCUUUUUUUUCUAUGUCCCCUCUCUCUUUCCAAAAUACUUUUUAGAAAGACAGAUACUAACGCAUUAUAUGUUUGUAUGUUUUUUCUUUCCAAAUAAGGAAUGAUUUAUAGUAUAUGAGAUUACUCAAUAAAACAAAGUGAAUCCUCUCCUUUUCAAAUUUGAGGUCCCAUCUAGAUGAUUUGAGUCAAGAAGGAAUCAAACUGGGUACUAAGGAUAAAAUCUUGUAAAUUAGGUUAAUUAAUCGACUAUUCGUUGCAUAUAUUAAGUGAUCCAAUAAAAUGUCUUUAUUUGUUCGAUUUGUGUUAUAUCCACUAAAAGAAAUAAAAAUGAAAUAGCAAUAUUAGGCCCCCGAAUAAACAUGUAGCCUAUGAAAGUUGUAAUUUGAUCACCUUACUAUAACAUUUUGAAGUUAAUAAAUUAUUCUUGUACGUAAUAACAAUUUAACAGGUCGUGAUAAUUUAUUUAUUUUUAAUUAAAGAACCCAAUGGGUCAUUUUAUUGAAAUGAAUCGAAAGAGAUUGGUAUAUGCAAAUUCUACAGUCAUAUUUUUGUCAGUAAGCUUAUUUCAAAUUUCAAUGCUAUACACGUAUAAAUAAAAUAUUUUGAAUAUGAAAUUUUAUAAUCUCCGUCCCAAAAUAAGUGUCAAUUAUACAACAAAAAAAUUAUCUCAAAAUAAGUGUCACUUUAUGAAUUCAAGUAAAAAAUUAGUUUGUUUUUUCAAUUAAACUUUAUAGGGAUAAGGGUUUGAAAAAUACCCCAACUUUGGUCGGAUUUGCUGUUGCGAUACUAAACUUUCAUAAGGACCUAUUACCUCCCUAGACUAUUUAAUACCGUAUUUUAAACAUAUAUAUUUGCCCACGUGGACAUAAAAAAUAAUGCAAAAUUAUAAAUAGUAAUGUGUCCACGUGGGCACAUAUAUACCUUUAAAAUNNNNNNNNNNNNNNNNNNNNNNNNNNNNNNNNNNNNNNNNNNNNNNNNNNNNNNNNNNNNNNNNNNNNNNNNNNNNNNNNNNNNNNNNNNNNNNNNNNNNNNNNNNNNNNNNNNNNNNNUAACUUUGGUCGAAUUUGUUGUUGCGAUACUAAACUUUCAUGAGGACCUAUUACCUACCUAGACUAUUUAAUACCGUAUUUUUUACCCCCUGAACUAUUUAAUAGUGUAUUUUAAAGGUAUAUGUGUGUCCACGUGGACACAUUACUAUUUACAAUUUUGCAUUAUUUUUUAUGUCCACGUGGACAAAUAUAUAUGUUUAAAAUACGGUAUUAAAUAGUCUAGGUAGGUAAUAGGUCCUCAUGAAAGUUUAGUAUCGCAACAGCAAAUCCGACCAAAGUUGAGAUAUUUUUCAGAUCCUUAUCCCAACUUUAUACUUUGUCUUCUUAAUUGUAUGCAUCGCAAGAGAUAUAUAUAUUAUAGUUUAAUAAACUACACAUCAUAUUUAUUAAUUUCUUAAUUAUUAAUGGACGUAAUUUUUAUUAAAAUCACACUUAUUUUGAGAUGGAUCAAAAGAUCAAACUAUAUAUAUCUCCAAAACAUUCAUGUUGAUAUAUAAUGGUAGGGUACUGGAAACUGGAAAGACUGUAAUACUUGGAAUAGAGAUGCAUGGCACACCGUUAAGCAUUAAUCCUUAUGAGUUAGCGGCUGGAAAAACUAUCACAGGAUCCAUGUUUGGUGGUGUCAAAGCUAAAGUUGACAUUCCCUUAUUUGCUAAUCAAUAUUUGAAUAAAUGUAAGUUAAUUUCCUUGUACUUUUUGUUAUUUUAUUACACCUUUUCAAUUCAAUGAUUCUAAAUUUAGUUUAUCAUUGUGAAUAUUAUAUACUAAAAAGGUCUAACGAACCUAGCUACCACAUAUAUAAUUCCAAAAGGUUCAUGACACUUUUUGGUCUCUCAAUUAUUGAUAAACUCUGAUUUAAUCCUUGUCAUGACAUUUAAUCGAUUAAGAAUAUCUAACCUUUUUGAAUUAAUUGAAUGUGCAUUUUAUCUGCUUGCCGUUUGUGAAUAUUCACAUAAGUUUAUUUUAAUUACCAAUUGUUUCAUCAAUUAAGUUUCAAUGUGUUAUAUAUGUUACGAUGGUAUUGUAGUCGUCAUGUAUAUAAGGAUUAAAUUUAGAAUUUACUAACGAGGGGCCAAAAGUAUUAUUAAUCCUAUGUCAAAUUAAUUUAUAAGUAGUUGAUGCUUUGUUUUUUGGCAUAUUGGGCAGGAUUUGAACUUGGAGGGAUUCAUAACACAUGAAGGUAACUUUGAAGAUAUUAACAAAGCAUUUGACUUACUUGAAGCUGGCAAAACGCUGCGUUGUAUCAUUUGGAUGGGCAAAUAAUCCUGUUAAUUUAACCUUUCUAUCUUGUGUGCUUUGGGAUAUUUAGUAAAUUGAUGUUCUACUUAUUGCUAUUAUUUAAUUUACUAAAAAGGAGCUAAAUACUUUUGUAUCUAUCUCGUUUCAUUUCAGAGAUUUGAAUCUGGAAAAAAAGUAUCUUUAAUUUAAUUCUAGUUCUAUGAAUGAGAGUUAUGCUUGUUUGGAUGGUUG